AUUGAACGCUGGCGGCAUGCUUUACACAUGCAAGUCGAACGGCAGCGCGGGCUUCGGCCUGGCGGCGAGUGGCGAACGGGUGAGUAAUGCAUCGGAACGUGCCCAGUAGUGGGGGAUAGCCCGGCGAAAGCCGGAUUAAUACCGCAUACGACCUGAGGGUGAAAGCGGGGGACCGAAAGGCCUCGCGCUAUUGGAGCGGCCGAUGUCGGAUUAGCUAGUUGGUGGGGUAAAGGCUUACCAAGGCGACGAUCCGUAGCUGGUCUGAGAGGACGACCAGCCACACUGGAACUGAGACACGGCCCAGACUCCUACGGGAGGCAGCAGUGGGGAAUUUUGGACAAUGGGGGCAACCCUGAUCCAGCCAUGCCGCGUGCGGGAAGAAGGCCUUCGGGUUGUAAACCGCUUUUGUUCGGGAAGAAAUACUCUGGGCUAAUACCCCGGGGGGAUGACGGUACCGGAAGAAUAAGCACCGGCUAACUACGUG
This 484-nucleotide ribosomal RNA is filed under the name uncultured bacterium. Its description in RNAcentral is "partial 16S ribosomal RNA". It matches the Rfam family "Bacterial small subunit ribosomal RNA", at positions 29 to 507 of the family's 1533-position model. The record is from RNAcentral.